UACGGGGGGGGCAAGCGUUGUUCGGAAUUACUGGGCGUAAAGGGCUCGUAGGCGGCCAACUAAGUCGGAUGUGAAAUCCCCAGGCUUAACCUGGGAACUGCAUCCGAUACUGGAUGGCUUGAAUCCGGGAGAGGGAUGCAGAAUUCCUGGUGUAGCGGUGAAAUGCGCAGAUAUCAGGAGGAACACCGGUGGCGAAGGCGGGUCUCUGGGCCGAUACUGACGCUGAGGAGCGAAAGCGUGGGGAGCGAACAGG
Molecule: ribosomal RNA, 253 nt
Filed under: uncultured bacterium
Lineage: Bacteria
Description: partial 16S ribosomal RNA
Rfam family: Bacterial small subunit ribosomal RNA
Source: RNAcentral